GACGAACGCUGGCGGCGUGCUUAACACAUGCAAGUCGAACGGGCCUGUCUUCUUUUUUGGGGGGUGGGUUGAGUGGCGAACGGGUGAGUAUCACGUGAGUAACCUGCCCUUCGGUCCUGGAUAACCGCUUGAAAGGGCGGCUAAUACGGGGUGGUCCGGUUGGUCCGCACGGGCUGGUCGGGAUAGAUUCACUGUUUUUGGUGUUUCGGCGGGGGAUGGGCUCGCGGCCUAUCAGCUUGUUGGUGGGGUGAUGGCCUACCAAGGCGGUGACGGGUAGCCGGCCUGAGAGGGUGGGCGGCCACACUGGGACUGAGAUACGGCCCAGACUCCUGCGGGAGGCAGCAGUGGGGGGUAUUGCACAAUGGGCGGAAGCCUGAUGCAGCGACGUCGCGUGAGGGAUGGAGGCCUUCGGGUUGUGAACCUCUGUUUCCGGUGGUGAAGGCCCUGUCCGUGUGGUGGGGUUGACGGUAGCCGGGGAUGAAGCGCCGGCUAACUACGUG
This 500-nucleotide ribosomal RNA is filed under the name uncultured bacterium. RNAcentral's name for it is "partial 16S ribosomal RNA". It matches the Rfam family "Bacterial small subunit ribosomal RNA", at positions 28 to 507 of the family's 1533-position model. The record is from RNAcentral.